Molecule: ribosomal RNA, 297 nt
Filed under: uncultured microorganism
Description: partial 16S ribosomal RNA
Rfam family: Bacterial small subunit ribosomal RNA
Source: RNAcentral
GUGCCAGCAGCCGCGGUAAAUACGAAGGGUGCAAGCGUUACUCGGAAUUACUGGGCGUAAAGGCGUGCGUAGGUGGUUGUUUUAAGUCUGUUGUGAAAGCCCUGGGCUCAACCUGGGAAUUGCAGUGGAUACCUGGGCAACUUAGAGUGUGGUAGAGGGUAGUGGAAUUCCCGGUGUAGCAGUGAAAUGCGUAGAGAUCGGGAGGAACAUCCAUGGCGAAGGCAGCUACCUGGACCAACACUGACACUGAGGCACGAAAGCGUGGGGAGCAAACAGGAUUAGAUACCCUGGUAGUCC